This 255-nucleotide ribosomal RNA is filed under the name uncultured bacterium. RNAcentral describes it as "partial 16S ribosomal RNA". It matches the Rfam family "Bacterial small subunit ribosomal RNA", at positions 524 to 776 of the family's 1533-position model. The record is from RNAcentral.
UACGGGGGGGGCAAGCGUUGUUCGGAAUUACUGGGCGUAAAGGGCGCGUAGGCGGUCAGACCAAGUCGAGUGUGAAAUUCCAGGGCUUAACUCUGGCACGCUCGCUCGAUACUGGUCGGCUAGAGUGUGGAAGAGGAUGCUGGAAUUCCCGGUGUAGCGGUGAAAUGCGUAGAGAUCCGGAGGAACACCAGUGGCGAAAGCGGCCACCUGGACUGUACCUGACGCUGAGGCGCGAAAGCUAGGGGAGCAAACGGG